GUUGAGGAUCAGCAUUCUUGUGCAUCAUUUGCGAAGUAAGUCUCCUGUGUCCCUCUAUCUUGAUGCCACUGGUGGUGUAGUGUCAAAAAUUCCAGAACAGCCAAAACUGGUGUUGUAAUAUGCGCUCACUCUUCCAGGAAAUGCAGGUCGAGAUGCACCACCACUGCUUAUUUGUGAGAUGCUCUCCAAUGACCAAUGAAGCACUCAGUACCACCAAUCACAUUUUGACUCAUGCAAUUCACUUUGCAUUUAUCAAAGUACACCCAAAUAAAAAUUCACCAGGUCGAAACUGAUUAUAGCUGGGCUUUAAUACAAAGUGUGAUGCUCGCUUUCAACAAAGAGCACAUCAGCACUUACCUCAACAGAGCAUAUGACUUCUGCAUGAACAAAAAAAUCAGUGGAUGAAAUGAAGUCAUAUAUUGUACUACACAUUUGCUCUGCUCACAUCCUGAAAGCUGUCAGACAGGCAAUCUGUAGGCAAACAGAUGACAAAGGACUGAGAUACUUUGCCACAUCUGCUUUUGCAAGACUUCAAAAUGCCAGCAACAUGACUUAAUAAAGAAAGGUGUUCCGUGCAUUAUGUGCCUUGCUCACAACCCAACAAAACACAGACCUCGUCAAAGAAAGUCUGCGUAUUUUGGAGAGUGUCAUUUCAAGAUCCAAAGAGGAGCCACUGGAAGAAAUUCCCCAAUCUGAAGACUAGGAAAUGUGUGAAAGUGAAGACAGAACACAUGCAACGACCAUCAGUGGCAAAUCACCAUUCUAUGCCUUUUUUCAGCAGAUUAUGAAAGAGGUGAAGGAAGAAAUGGUUGAUGAUGACACAGGGUUGGCAACAGAAGACAACCCAUACUUUUGUCCAGGCAUCCUCACAGUCCUCUUUGGUAUACCUUGCUAUCUUUCCUCUUUGGAGUGUUGGGAGACCUGAUGGAUGAAUGUCAUGAACAGUACAUGGAGACAACAAAGAAACAACCAAAAACAAGAGAUGCCAACUGUCACAUUGAAAGGUGGUUUGGAAUUGUCAAACAUUCCAUAAUGCAUAAAGAAAAAAAGUCAAACCAGGGACCUUCAUAAGAAAAAUGCACAAGUCUCUACAAGCGAGGUAUACAGAGCAUAUCAUCAAGCAUGAACUUCCUCAAAAGCUUUUGCGGCAACCUGAGGCACCUUUGAACCUUGAUCAGUCUCAAGAAACUUGGAAGAAGGAAGAACGUUUCCCAUCCACCAAAUCCAAAUUCUUUUCUGUUCCACAUAAAAUACCUGCUCCCCAAAAAGAGGAUCAAGAAGGAUGUGGAAGUGGAAACUUCAAGUUCUGAAGCAUGUCAGCCUCCUGCAGAUGGACUCCAUGUAGAUGAACAGAUCCAGAUGCUAUUGAAGAAGAAGGAACAUACAGAGCUGCUAGUAGCCAUUGUUCAGUCUCCUAGCCAGGAUCUUGAGUUCCUUUUACAUCACAAGGUAUUCAAUGCACUGAGGCCACAUGAAUGGUUAUUUGGAGAGACUAUUGAGUGCUAUUUCAGAACUGUACUUAAUAAGGAGGAUGCAAAUCUCUACCAGCUAAGCCAUUACACCACAGGUGUCAUUUUAAAUGGCACAAGAGAGCAGAUGGAACAGCAAGGAUUUUGAAAAGUCAACUUAGAGCAAUAUGAUGGGGUCAUCACUUUUGUCAAUAUCACUAAAAAUCACUGGAGGUUUGUGGUAAGUAAAAGAGUGCUAAUUUCAAUGAUAAGCUACUACAUAUGCCCAUUUAGACAUGUUUGAUCUUUCAUUGACAUUUAUUUGCUAAUUUAUUUGUUUCUUUUUAUCCAAUUUAGUUUGUAUAUGCUCAGACUGACACCCUUUUCGUGCUUGACUUUCUGACUGGUACAAAUGAAAUGAAACUAAAAGGCAUGCCAAAAAUUCGGGUAUGAUAGUCUGUUUUAAAAAAAGAUAUUUAGCAUGUGUAGAUCCAAAACAGUAAUACUUUUUUUACUAGCAAGCGCAUACCCUUUCUGCUCUUUGUUCAUGUAUGAUUAUAUUUGUGGAGUGAGACAUGCUUAUAUUAUGCUGUAUUAUAAUCAAUUUUACUAUAAUAAAAUCUUCUUCAAAGGCAACUAUACAUUAGUGCUUUACUUUCUUAUUAUUUUGAACAUUAUUUUGUUUGUUUUUAUAAAAAAAAUCAUAAUCAUUUAUAGUCAUGUAUGUAGUUGUCAUUGAUUUAUCAUUAUUAUGGUAGUACUUUAAAACAUAAAUAAUUCACAGAAACAAAACAUAAAUGACUGGUUAAUCAAACAUACUCAAACAUACUCAUAGUGUUUAAUAUAGUAAUAUUUACUGUAAAAGUGUAGUUUGUACCCUUAAUGUGUAGUAAAGCUAUUUUGUAUUGACACACUAUUAAAAUUAAUAUCUUUGGAAAAAAGCAUCAUAUCAGUGUAAAAGACAUUUACAAAUAUUUAUCUCAAUUUAAAGAACAUAAUCAUGGUGUUUAAUGUACA
Megalobrama amblycephala (Wuchang bream) is the source of this 2465-nucleotide long non-coding RNA. RefSeq lists it as uncharacterized. Lineage: Eukaryota; Metazoa; Chordata; Actinopteri; Cypriniformes; Xenocyprididae. The record is from RefSeq and is a predicted model, not a curated record. The transcript is spliced from 4 exons.